This 618-nucleotide ribosomal RNA is filed under the name Triticum aestivum (bread wheat). RNAcentral's name for it is "partial small subunit ribosomal RNA". The record is from RNAcentral. Lineage: Eukaryota; Viridiplantae; Streptophyta; Magnoliopsida; Poales; Poaceae.
GAUCUUGUAAACAAGGCGUGGUCGGCUUUCGGUGUAAUGGAUAAUCUGGGACAAGUCAGUGUUGCCUUGCAAUCAACUAUGUCAUCACUACGGUCAUGGAGUAACCGAAGGUUUGGGAAUGUUACAAGGGAAAUCAAGAAAUCACGCAGCCAGCUUGAAGAACUGAUGCGAAUGAAUGCUGAUAGACAUGAAAUAAGGAAGGUGUCUGACAAACUAAAUGAGCUGAUGUACAAAGAGGAGAUGCUAUGGUUGCAACGCUCACGUAUCAUGUGGCUGAAAGAGGGAGAUAGGAACACGAAGUUUUUCCAGAGUAAGGCUGUAUGGCGUGCACGGAAAAACAGAAUUAAAGAGUUGCAUGAUGCUGAUGGGAAUGUCUAUACAGAUACUGCUACUAUGAGUAAUAUGGCUACAUCUUAUUUUAAGAAAAUAUUCACAGCAGCUCCGUCCCUAGAGGCUUCGGGGGUGGUGGAUCUGGUUCAUAUGGUGAUAACAGACAACGAUAAUGAUAAGCUCUGUGCUGAAUUCACUAACCAGGAGAUCUCGGAUGCUCUAUUCCAGAUUGGGCCCUUAAAGGCGCCGGGCCCAGAUGGGUUCCCAGCUAGAUUUUUUCAGCGAAAC